UACGGGGGGGGCAAGCGUUGUUCGGAAUUACUGGGCGUAAAGGGCUCGUAGGCGGCCAACUAAGUCAGACGUGAAAUCCCUCGGCUUAACCGGGGAACUGCAUCUGAUACGGGCGAACUUGAGGCCAGUAGGGGGACGCGGAAUUCCGGGUGUAGUGGUGGAAUGCGUAGAGAUCCGGAGGAACACCAGCGGCGAAGGCGGCGUCCUGGACUGGUACUGACGCUCAGGAGCGAAAGCGUGGGGAGCGAUCCGG
RNAcentral lists this ribosomal RNA (253 nucleotides) under uncultured bacterium. Its description in RNAcentral is "partial 16S ribosomal RNA". It matches the Rfam family "Bacterial small subunit ribosomal RNA", at positions 524 to 776 of the family's 1533-position model. The record is from RNAcentral.